UGAGGUUCUGUAACAAGCACAAUCAAUUGGCAAAUCGAUUGAUGGAAAAGUCUGAGUCACUAUGAUCAGCACAAUCGAUUGACGAAUCGAUUGAAGAAAAUGUUCAAGUUACAGAAAGGUUUCAGCUAAGUGCCAAAUCGAUUAUGAAGUCGACUGAGGAAUCGAUUGUUUUGAUUUCGUUGUUGAAUCAAAACACCUAUAAUCGAUUACUCAAUCGAUUUGGAUAAAAUCAUAGUUCCAGUUCUGAUUAAUGUAUUAAAAGAAUCGAUUGGCAAAUCGAUUCAUGCUUAUAUGAUUCAAGAUUCAAGAAAAACAAGACCUGCGAAAAUCGAUUAGGCAAUCGAUUAAUGCAUUAUGAAAUCGAUUAGGAAAUCGAUUGUCCUGGUGUUUUCUUUGAAU
This 399-nucleotide long non-coding RNA is filed under the name Cicer arietinum (chickpea). RNAcentral describes it as "long non-coding RNA (CARI_LNC002722)". The record is from RNAcentral. Lineage: Eukaryota; Viridiplantae; Streptophyta; Magnoliopsida; Fabales; Fabaceae.